AAUGAACGCUGGCGGCAGGCCUAACACAUGCAAGUCGAACGAGUGGCGGACGGGUGAGUAAUGUCCGGGUAACUGCCUGAUGGAGGGGGAUAACUGCUGGAAACGGUAGCUAAUACCGCAUACCAUCAGAUGUGCCCAGAUGGGAUUAGUUUGUUGGUGGGGUAACGGCUCACCAAGGCGACGAUCCCUAGCUGGUCUGAGAUGAUGACCAGCCACACUGGAACGGAGACACGGUCCAGACUCCUACGGGAGGCAGGAGUGGGGAGUAUUGCACAAUGGAAGGAAGUCUGAUCCAGCCAUGCCGCGUGGAUGAAGAGAGCAUGCGGGUUGUAAAGUACUUUCAGCGGGGAGGAGUUACCCGAAGAAGAAGCACCGGCUAACUCCGUGCCAGCAGCCGCGGUAAUUC
RNAcentral lists this ribosomal RNA (406 nucleotides) under uncultured bacterium. RNAcentral's name for it is "partial 16S ribosomal RNA". It matches the Rfam family "Bacterial small subunit ribosomal RNA", at positions 29 to 526 of the family's 1533-position model. The record is from RNAcentral.